CCUACGGGUGACAGCAGUGAGGAAUAUUGGUCAAUGGACGAGAGUCUGAACCAGCCAAGUAGCGUGAAGGAUGACUGCCUUAUGGGUUGUAAACUUCUUUUAUAUGGGAAUAAAAUGUUCCACGUGUGGGAUUUUGUAUGUACCAUAUGAAUAAGGAUCGGCUAACUCCGUGCAAGCAGCCGCGGUAAUACGGAGGAUCCGAGCGUUAUCCGGAUUUAUUGGGGUUAAAGGGAGCGUAGGUGGAUUGUUAAGUCAGUUGUGAAAGUUUGCGGCUCAACCGUAAAAUUGCAGUUGAAACUGGCAGUCUUGAGUACAGUAGAGGUGGGCGGAAUUCGUGGUGUAGCGGUGAAAUGCUUAGAUAUCACGAAGAACUACGAUUGCGAAGGCAGCUCACUGGACUGCAACUGACGCUGAAGCACGAAAGCGUGGGUAUCGAACAGGAUUAGAUACCCCUGUAGUC
Molecule: ribosomal RNA, 460 nt
Filed under: uncultured bacterium
Lineage: Bacteria
Description: partial 16S ribosomal RNA
Rfam family: Bacterial small subunit ribosomal RNA
Source: RNAcentral